CCUACGGGGGGCAGCAGUGGGGAAUAUUGGACAAUGGAGGGAACCCUGAUCCAGCCAUGCCGCGUGUGUGAAGAAGGCCCUCGGGUUGUAAAGCACUUUCAGUGAGGAAGAACGCCUGGUGGUUAAUACCCAUCAGGAAAGACAUCACUCACAGAAGAAGCACCGGCUAACUCCGUGCCAGCAGCCGCGGUAAUACGGAGGGUGCGAGCGUUAAUCGGAAUUACUGGGCGUAAAGCGCGCGUAGGUGGCUUGAUAAGCCGGUUGUGAAAGCCCCGGGCUCAACCUGGGAACGGCAUCCGGAACUGUCAAGCUAGAGUGCAGGAGAGGAAGGUAGAAUUCCCGGUGUAGCGGUGAAAUGCGUAGAGAUCGGGAGGAAUACCAGUGGCGAAGGCGGCCUUCUGGACUGACACUGACACUGAGGUGCGAAAGCGUGGGUAGCAAACAGGAUUAGAUACCCUGGUAGUC
This 465-nucleotide ribosomal RNA is filed under the name Vreelandella stevensii. Its description in RNAcentral is "partial 16S ribosomal RNA". It matches the Rfam family "Bacterial small subunit ribosomal RNA", at positions 338 to 795 of the family's 1533-position model. Lineage: Bacteria; Pseudomonadati; Pseudomonadota; Gammaproteobacteria; Oceanospirillales; Halomonadaceae. The record is from RNAcentral.